Neopelma chrysocephalum (saffron-crested tyrant-manakin) is the source of this 3490-nucleotide long non-coding RNA. RefSeq lists it as uncharacterized. The transcript is spliced from 3 exons. The record is from RefSeq and is a predicted model, not a curated record. Lineage: Eukaryota; Metazoa; Chordata; Aves; Passeriformes; Pipridae.
GGGAAGGAUGACACAUGUUCAGCCCGGCCCAGUGGCAGAGCAGCCGGCGAGGCAGAGCCAAUGGCUGCUUUUCAUGCUCAGUGAGUCCGUCCACCUCCACCCCCCCCUCCCCGAGUCCUUAAGUUGCAGCUUUUAACUACCUCGGUGUUCAAAGCAAAUAUGAUGCUCAGCGUGAACAGAAGGAAGAGCCUGCUGACAGGUAGACAGCAUGGACACUGAUCCCGGCAGGGCCGGCUGCUGAGAGAGGUGUCCCGGGGGUGCUCCUGAGCCUCUCCUGCUGCUCCAGGUGAUGCCCCAGUUCACCUUCGCUUGCUUCUGCGGGCUCCAUGGCUUCUGCAAGAUGAAGAGGAAGAAAGAAGAGGCCAGUGCCCAGCAGGAGACGGCCGUGUGAGGAGCAGACAGACCCUGCUGAGCUGUGCCUCGGGACCCCGCCCGGCCCCUCGACGCUGGUUGUGGCCAGGGGAGAGCCAAGGCACGGGAAUGACCUUGCCGGGAGGCAGAAGCAGAGGUUGGGGGUGUCACCCAGGAGCUGCAGCAAUCCCACCCCAGCACUCGGGGUCAGAGGGACCCUGCAUCCCGGGGGGAUAGAGAUUUCCCUCCUGGACGAGCCAACCUGCCCUUGCUCCAGCAAAUCUCGACAGACAGACCUGGAAAGGGUUGCAAAAGCCGGGGCCAGACCUUGGAAUCCCAGUCCUGGACAGGGCUGGCCCCUGGCUGGUAAGUUGUCCUGCUGCUGCAGGACUGGCUGAAGGCACAAAAUGAGCCAGUUUGGGGCUUGUUUCUCUUUUUAAAGCCUCAAGCAGUCGUCUGUGAGUCCAGGAAGCCAUUCUCCGUGCCUCUGCCCUCCUGCUCCCGUACCCUGGAGUGCUCUGGAGGCACCAGACACACGGACCCUGCUCGGACCAGUGCAGACCAGGAGCUCCCACCCCAUGGGCAGGGGGGACACCUCGGGGUGGGAACCCAUCCCCUGCACCCCUGGGCCAUGAGGCUCAGCAGGAGGUUGUUCUCUUUUGGUGAACAGGACCAAAUUCCUGAGCUUGGGGGACCUGAGAUCCAUUCCAGGGACAUGUUCUCCAGGGCAGAAAUCCUUAAAUUCUUCCAUACUGCACUUCCCACCUCCCUGUGGAGACCCUCUGAGCCUGGGGCCAAAAGCAGUGCCCAGAACUGCUGGGCAGGAGCUGCUCUUCCCCAGGGUUAGUCCUGCUCCUGCCACCACCUUUCCUGUGGUGGCUGUGCCCAGGAACCCCCUUUCCUCCCCCACCCUGUCCCUCUGUCCUUCCCACCCUCUGCUAAAGCCAUACAGGAGCCCCCCGCAUGCUGUGCCUUCCCGAGGGGUCUCAGGCAGACAUUCCCACUGGGAUACCCUCCAAACAGCCCCAGGAGAGCUGGUGAGUGUUGGUGAGCCAGGGUCUCCCAGGUUUUGGGUCUGGGUGACAGGUCCCCCAUCCCUGAACACACCCAGGGUUUGGGUCUCAGUGCCCAGUUCCCUCUCCCUGAAUUCCCAGCAUUCCCAUCCAGGCACCAGCAGCUCCCAUUUGCUGGAGAGCAGCCUCUGGAAAGGGAAAAUGCUUGGGGGCAGCUGGUUGGCACAGGGGGGGUGUUGACUUUGAGACCUCCGAGGAGCCCCCACCGUGGGGGAUGAGCACACUCGGAGCACAAAUCCUCCCCUGUGAUUAAGAGACUUGACCUUUCCAGGGUUUUCCCAGUGCUCCCAGACCCACACUCGGCCAACAGAGCUGUCUGUGCCACUGACAGCUCCCUUGGGAGCAGAUUUGUUGGCUCAGCCAACAUCCAGGACCAACACGGCUGUUAUUUUAUUUUCUUAUCCAAAGGAUUUAGCACGAGAACCCGAGCUUGGCCAGAAGCACCAAUAACAACACAAGGUGCAGCUGAGGAGCUUUAAAUCCUCCCUGCUGGGUGCCUGUUUCCCAGGAAAGCAGCUGACUGGGGUGGGAUGUGCUGGGAGGUGGGACACGGGCAGGGGGACACGGGCUGUGCGUGGUCUGUGUGUGUCACACCCGGGCUGGGGCAGCUCAGGACACUUUGCUCUUUCCCUACUUUAAUCCCAAACCAUGUGAGCUGUAGGAUCCAGGGGUGCAGCCCCAGGUGGGUGUUUCCCAGCUGGACUCCAGGUUUUGGCAGGGAAGAGGACACAUGUGAGGUGACCUGUGAGGGAGCAGCCUGUCCAGCUGCCCUCUCACUUGUCACCAUCGAGCCCAGCAAAUUCCAGCCUGGUUAAUGCUGAUGCUCCCACAUUUUGACUUGGUUGGGGGACACAAGGGGGGUCCCUGCUAAUGAUCUGAGCAGGCAUCACCCCGUGAGAGCAGCAGGAGAGCACCCAGAGCAGAGGUUUGGAGGAAAAUCAUGGGGAUCUGUGCUCAGAUGGAACUAAAUCAUUGCUGAGGGGUGAGGAAGAGUGGCCCAGUUCAUUGCUGUGCUGCUGAACCCCUUGGAUCACAGAGCCAGGGAUGUGCAGCUAUUGAGGUUCUGUGUCUCUGGAGCAGCACUGGGGAGGAGGCUGGAGCUGGGGAGGGGCUUCCAGUUCUCCCAGUUGCAGUGGGAGUCCCCCAGGCUGGGCUGGGAUGAGCUGUCUCGAACAUUCCUGCCUCCAGAGAGGGGUUCCCAAGCCCGGGGUUUAAUGAAUGUAGCACGUAAAACUGAGACAGGCAGACACUCGCCCACACCCAUUAUAUGUGCAUUGAAAAACACGAAAAAAAAUGAACCAGGAGCCAUGUGAACGUUGAAGCACUCGAGCUUUAAGCAGUUAUUUUUGAAGAGAAUUUCCCACCUCCCUGGAUGGAUGUAGCUCUCUGGAAGCAACAAUAUGUUUUCCACCAUGGUUUGCUCCUGGCUUGACCUCUAUUGUGCUCAUAAAACGGCUCGUGGUGCUUUUUUGAUUCCCCCCCGUCGUAAUGACUCGACCUCCAGAUUUAUGGCUGAAGGUCUUUUUCGCCCGCACGUUGUUUCCCCACCAGACCGCAGCCUGAUUUUUUUUUUUUUUUGCUUUUCUGGAGCAAAUCUGCCAAGAGCUGAGCGUCCCCCCCCCCCCUCCCCCGGGCCCCUCGGGGCCCCCCCCAUCCUCCCACUGACAGAUCUGCAGUGGGCAAAAGCAAAAUGGGUUUUGUUUCUCUCUUUCCCGUGGCGGCGUUUUAAUAGGGCAGCGUCUGCUCGGAGCCUGCGAGGACUGGGGCGUGACAGCUCCUGUCACAGAACACUCUCUCCCCGUCUCCUUCUCUCUUCCCCCACAUUUGCACAACCCCUGGCAUUUUUAUAAGCUCGGAGUUUUGCUUAUUUUCCAGGAUUUCCUCUUGCUCCUCCUGCCUUUGGCUCUUCCAACCCCACUUUUGCUUCUCUGCUCCAGAGUCCCCUGGGCCUGAGCGAUGCUGGAGUAGAUGAAUCUCACUGGCUUACUAACUGUCAUCCAGUAGUUUCCAAGUGCUUUUCCAAGGUUUUUCCAUCCUCUGGAGGGAGGAAGGAAGGUGCAGGGACC